CCACGGACUGCUCAAACUAUUUCCUGGGGAAGCAUCGCUAUCUGCUUACCCUGUUUUUACUCUUCCCUGUGCAUCUGCUUUUGGCCGCUGAGACUGGAUAUAGGGCCAGGUGGACCUUUGGUCUGACUUGGUACAGCUGUUCCUAACAGUUACUUCACAACACUUCAUAAACGUACAGUUAGACAAAGUUCAUUGUUUGCAACACAUGACUUAGUCAGGACUUUGAUUUUUUGAGUUACAAAUGACUUCCAAAAGAGGAAAAAAAAAAAUAUUUAGGCUCUCUUCUGAUAUGACCCAGUUGUAUAAAACUGUAUAGAAAAGUGAGCAUUAGGCGCGGAUGUAAUGAAAAGCAAUAAGACUUAUAAAAAUCAUUCUUAAAAAUGUACCAAGCAUAAACAAAACAUGAUUUAUAAAUAGAUUUAGUUGUUCUAGUCAUCGUCGGAAUCUGAAUCAUAUUUCUUCCCUCUGAUGGUCUUCUUAUCCAACUUUGUAAAGCUUGUUCCAAAUUUCUUUUGGCUUUGAAAAGGUGGCUCCAUCAAGUUUCCACUGUAAUUAAUUAUAUCUGCACAGCCUAAUCUCCAUUCUAAGGUCUCUGUAGUGAAGUCAUCAGUGUUACCGAGAUCAGUGAAGCCAACAAUGUAGUCUUGUGUUUUUCCAUCUUUUAUUAGUGCUACAGUGGGAAUUACUUUGAUGCGCAGUCUCUCACACAAGAAAGGAGAUUUUUCUGCAUUUAGCUUCAAGAAUUUUGUCUCAACGUGUUUUUUUGCCAACACAGUCAAAUGCUUGUCCAUUAUUUGGCACCUGAAAGUUGUAUCUCUAUAAAAGUGGCAAACCACGUUUUUACUUUCUUUGACUUCUUGGAAAAAGUCUCUCUCACUUGGGAUUUCUCUGUAUUCUCCAUGUCCUUUAGAAAGCCACUCUUGUUUCUGCUGCUGGGCCUUUUUCAGUGCUUCAAGUCUCCUUUGUUUCAGGUGUUCCAACUCAUCUUCAUCCAUUUGGUCAAGCUUCUGCAUUUCAGCAUCCAGAUGUUCUUCCACCACCUUGGCAGUUUGAAGUAUUUCAUUCUCCAGAACUUUCUGAAGUAUUUCAACAGAUGUAUCAGCAGCCAUCUUUAAGUUUGAAGUGAUCUCCUCAGAGCGGCACAGGGAAGAGACAGAUCUUCAGGAGAGGGGCGGAGGCGAGCCCUGUACUGUUGGAACGCCGCCGCUUUGGCCCGCUCCGCCGGCGCCACUCCCCUCGCCUCACUCCCUCCCCGCCCCGUCACGCUCUGUCAGAGUCUCGCGAGAGCCAGAAUGGGUCACGGGAGGGGCGGGGCAAACUGUUUUUCUGCACGCUCAUUGGUCGGGACGGCGGACACGGAAGCGACGGAGACCAACGCGCGUGCGCCCUGCCCGAGCGGGUGGCGGCGGCGGGGAGUAGUGGGCGCGAUGGCCGUGGUGGCCGUUGGCGGGCGGUGUAACGGCUGCGGGGGGAGCUGAGGGAGCGGCCGCGCGCCUUCCGGGGGUCUCCCGCCCGGGGCGAGGCGUGUGGAGCGCGGCGGGAGCGUCACAACCGGGAGUUGCCGGUUUCGGCCCGCGAUCGUUGCCGUGAGGUGAGGGCGGCCCCAGGCGGUGCCUCCGCGCUCCGGGAGCGAGAGCUGUGGCUGCGGCAGCCCCGCUCAGGAGACCGUGCGUGAUCAGCGCGCGAGAAGAAGAUCCGCGGGUGCGGUUGAUGGGAUAUUAAAGUGUACUUAAAAAAAAAAAGCGUGGUGCUCUUUUUUGUUUCCUGGAAUUGUGACCGCGUCGCGCUGAGGUACGCGGCUCUGCCGCAGGUGGGGCGGGGAGAUAACGCUCGGAGCGCAGCGCAGCGCCCGCCUGCGGUACGGGGCUGGCGGCAGGAGGCGCGAGGCCGCCGCGCUCUGCCCUCCGGCCGGCAGGGGGCG
Molecule: long non-coding RNA, 1921 nt
Filed under: Gallus gallus (chicken)
Lineage: Eukaryota; Metazoa; Chordata; Aves; Galliformes; Phasianidae
Source: RNAcentral